Molecule: ribosomal RNA, 2468 nt
Filed under: Vibrio cholerae
Lineage: Bacteria; Pseudomonadati; Pseudomonadota; Gammaproteobacteria; Vibrionales; Vibrionaceae
Description: partial 23S ribosomal RNA
Rfam family: Bacterial large subunit ribosomal RNA
Source: RNAcentral
AUACUCCUGACUGACCGAUAGUGAACCAGUACCGUGAGGGAAAGGCGAAAAGAACCCCUGUGAGGGGAGUGAAAUAGAACCUGAAACCGUGUACGUACAAGCAGUAGGAGCACCUUCGUGGUGUGACUGCGUACCUUUUGUAUAAUGGGUCAGCGACUUAUAUUCAGUGGCAAGGUUAACCGUAUAGGGGAGCCGUAGCGAAAGCGAGUCUUAACUGGGCGCUCAGUCUCUGGAUAUAGACCCGAAACCGGGUGAUCUAGCCAUGGGCAGGUUGAAGGUUGAGUAACAUCAACUGGAGGACCGAACCGACUAAUGUUGAAAAAUUAGCGGAUGACUUGUGGCUAGGGGUGAAAGGCCAAUCAAACUCGGAGAUAGCUGGUUCUCCCCGAAAGCUAUUUAGGUAGCGCCUCGGACGAAUACUACUGGGGGUAGAGCACUGUUAAGGCUAGGGGGUCAUCCCGACUUACCAACCCUUUGCAAACUCCGAAUACCAGUAAGUACUAUCCGGGAGACACACGGCGGGUGCUAACGUCCGUCGUGGAGAGGGAAACAACCCAGACCGCCAGCUAAGGUCCCAAAGUAUUGCUAAGUGGGAAACGAUGUGGGAAGGCUCAGACAGCUAGGAUGUUGGCUUAGAAGCAGCCAUCAUUUAAAGAAAGCGUAAUAGCUCACUAGUCGAGUCGGCCUGCGCGGAAGAUGUAACGGGGCUAAGCAAUACACCGAAGCUGCGGCAAUAUCUUUUAGAUAUUGGGUAGGGGAGCGUUCUGUAAGCCGUUGAAGGUGAAUCGUAAGGUUUGCUGGAGGUAUCAGAAGUGCGAAUGCUGACAUGAGUAACGACAAAGGGGGUGAAAAACCUCCUCGCCGGAAGACCAAGGGUUCCUGUCCAACGUUAAUCGGGGCAGGGUGAGUCGACCCCUAAGGUGAGGCCGAAAGGCGUAAUCGAUGGGAAACGGGUUAAUAUUCCCGUACUUCUGACUAUUGCGAUGGGGGGACGGAGAAGGCUAGGUGAGCCAGGCGACGGUUGUCCUGGUUCAAGUGCGUAGGCUUGAGAGUUAGGUAAAUCCGGCUCUCUCUAAGGCUGAGACACGACGUCGAGCUGCUACGGCAGUGAAGUCAUUGAUGCCAUGCUUCCAGGAAAAGCCUCUAAGCUUCAGAUAGUCAGGAAUCGUACCCCAAACCGACACAGGUGGUCGGGUAGAGAAUACCAAGGCGCUUGAGAGAACUCGGGUGAAGGAACUAGGCAAAAUGGUACCGUAACUUCGGGAGAAGGUACGCUCUUGAUGGUGAAGUCCCUCGCGGAUGGAGCUGACGAGAGUCGCAGAUACCAGGUGGCUGCAACUGUUUAUUAAAAACACAGCACUGUGCAAAAUCGCAAGAUGACGUAUACGGUGUGACGCCUGCCCGGUGCCGGAAGGUUAAUUGAUGGGGUUAGCGCAAGCGAAGCUCUUGAUCGAAGCCCCGGUAAACGGCGGCCGUAACUAUAACGGUCCUAAGGUAGCGAAAUUCCUUGUCGGGUAAGUUCCGACCUGCACGAAUGGCGUAAUGAUGGCCACGCUGUCUCCACCCGAGACUCAGUGAAAUUGAAAUCGCUGUGAAGAUGCAGUGUACCCGCGGCUAGACGGAAAGACCCCGUGAACCUUUACUACAGCUUGGCACUGAACAUUGAACCUACAUGUGUAGGAUAGGUGGGAGGCUAUGAAGACGUGACGCCAGUUGCGUUGGAGCCGUCCUUGAAAUACCACCCUUGUAUGUUUGAUGUUCUAACUUAGACCCAUUAUCUGGGUUGAGGACAGUGCCUGGUGGGUAGUUUGACUGGGGCGGUCUCCUCCCAAAGAGUAACGGAGGAGCACGAAGGUGGGCUAAUCACGGUUGGACAUCGUGAGGUUAGUGCAAUGGCAUAAGCCCGCUUAACUGCGAGAAUGACGGUUCGAGCAGGUGCGAAAGCAGGUCAUAGUGAUCCGGUGGUUCUGUAUGGAAGGGCCAUCGCUCAACGGAUAAAAGGUACUCCGGGGAUAACAGGCUGAUACCGCCCAAGAGUUCAUAUCGACGGCGGUGUUUGGCACCUCGAUGUCGGCUCAUCACAUCCUGGGGCUGAAGUCGGUCCCAAGGGUAUGGCUGUUCGCCAUUUAAAGUGGUACGCGAGCUGGGUUUAGAACGUCGUGAGACAGUUCGGUCCCUAUCUGCCGUGGGCGUUGGAAGAUUGAAGGGGGCUGCUCCUAGUACGAGAGGACCGGAGUGGACGAACCUCUGGUGUUCGGGUUGUGUCGCCAGACGCAUUGCCCGGUAGCUAAGUUCGGAAUUGAUAAGCGCUGAAAGCAUCUAAGCGCGAAGCGAGCCCUGAGAUGAGUCUUCCCUGAUACUUUAAGUAUCCUAAAGGGUUGUUCGAGACUAGAACGUUGAUAGGCAGGGUGUGUAAGCGUUGUGAGGCGUUGAGCUAACCUGUACUAAUUGCCCGUGAGGCUUAACCA